RNAcentral lists this ribosomal RNA (161 nucleotides) under uncultured Thelephoraceae. RNAcentral's name for it is "partial 28S ribosomal RNA". It matches the Rfam family "Eukaryotic large subunit ribosomal RNA", at positions 1 to 157 of the family's 3401-position model. The record is from RNAcentral. Lineage: Eukaryota; Fungi; Basidiomycota; Agaricomycetes; Thelephorales; Thelephoraceae.
UUGAUCUCAAAUCAGGUAGGACUACCCGCUGAACUUAAGCAUAUCAAUAAGCGGAGGAAAAGAAACUACCAAGGAUUCCCCUAGUAACUGCGAGUGAAGCGGGAAGAGCUCAAAUUUAAAAUCUGGCGUGCCUCUGGUCGUCCGAGUUGUAGUCUGGAGAA